AUGCUUUGCUUUGGCAGCAUAUAUACUGCCAAAUUGGAACAGUACAGAGAAGAUAAGUGUGGCUGCUGCACUAGAAUGAUACAAAAAUUUCCUAAAUGUUCCUUUA
Molecule: small nuclear RNA, 106 nt
Organism: Callithrix jacchus (white-tufted-ear marmoset)
Lineage: Eukaryota; Metazoa; Chordata; Mammalia; Primates; Cebidae
Source: Ensembl